AAACGAAUUUUGAUCCGCAGAUUUCUGAAUGGGGAAACCCAAUCAAUUUAUUGAUUAUUGCAUACUGAAUACAUAGGUAUGCAAGGUAAACCUGGUGAACUGAAAUAUCUCAGUAGCUAGAGGAAAGGAAAUCAAAAGAGACUCCGUUAGUAGUGACGAGCGAAUGCGGACCAGGCCAGUGGUUCAUAAUUAAAAAUUAGAAUACUUUGGAAAGAGUAGCCAUAGAUGGUGAUAGCCCAGUAUAAGUAAAAAUGUUAUGAAUCCUUGAGUAGGGCGGGGCACGUGAAAUCCUGUUUGAAGAUGGGGGGACCAUCCUCCAAGCCUAAGUACUCCUUAACGACCGAUAGUGAACAAGUACCGUGAGGGAAAGGUGAAAAGAACCCCGGGAGGGGAGUGAAAUAGACCCUGAAAUCGAAUGCUUACAACCAGUUGGAGCCUUAUAUUUAUAUUUUGAGAGCAAUCUCAUACUAUAUAUAUUAGGGUGA
Molecule: ribosomal RNA, 485 nt
Filed under: Candidatus Ehrlichia urmitei
Lineage: Bacteria; Pseudomonadati; Pseudomonadota; Alphaproteobacteria; Rickettsiales; Anaplasmataceae
Description: bacterial LSU rRNA
Rfam family: Bacterial large subunit ribosomal RNA
Source: RNAcentral